GACGAACGCUGGCGGCGUGCCUAAUACAUGCAAGUCGAACGCUUCUUUCCUCCCGAGUGCUUGCACUCAAUUGGAAAGAGGAGUGGCGGACGGGUGAGUAACACGUGGGUAACCUACCCAUCAGAGGGGGAUAACACUUGGAAACAGGUGCUAAUACCGCAUAACAGUUUAUGCCGCAUGGCAUAAGAGUGAAAGGCGCUUUCGGGUGUCGUUGAUGGAUGGACCCGCGGUGCAUUAGCUAGUUGGUGAGGUAACGGCUCACCAAGGCCACGAUGCAUAGCCGACCUGAGAGGGUGAUCGGCCACACUGGGACUGAGACACGGCCCAGACUCCUACGGGAGGCAGCAGUAGGGAAUCUUCGGCAAUGGACGAAAGUCUGACCGAGCAACGCCGCGUGAGUGAAGAAGGUUUUCGGAUCGUAAAACUCUGUUGUUAGAGAAGAACGAGGACGUUAGUAACUGAACGUCCCCUGACGGUAUCUAACCAGAAAGCCACGGCUAACUACGUG
Molecule: ribosomal RNA, 508 nt
Filed under: uncultured bacterium
Lineage: Bacteria
Description: partial 16S ribosomal RNA
Rfam family: Bacterial small subunit ribosomal RNA
Source: RNAcentral